Molecule: ribosomal RNA, 433 nt
Filed under: uncultured bacterium
Lineage: Bacteria
Description: partial 16S ribosomal RNA
Rfam family: Bacterial small subunit ribosomal RNA
Source: RNAcentral
AGCGAACGCUGGCGGCAGGCCUAACACAUGCAAGUCGAACGAACUCUUCGGAGUUAGUGGCGGACGGGUGAGUAACACGUGGGAACGUGCCUUUUGGUUCGGAAUAACUCAGGGAAACUUGUGCUAAUACCGAAUGUGCCCUUCGGGGGAAAGAUUUAUCGCCAUUAGAGCGGCCCGCGUCUGAUUAGCUAGUUGGUGAGGUAACGGCUCACCAAGGCGACGAUCAGUAGCUGGUCUGAGAGAAUGACCAGCCACACUGGGACUGAGACACGGCCCAGACUCCUACGGGAGGCAGCAGUGGGGAAUCUUGCGCAAUGGGCGAAAGCCUGACGCAGCCAUGCCGCGUGAAUGAUGAAGGUCUUAGGAUUGUAAAAUUCUUUCACCGGGGACGAUAAUGACGGUACCCGGAGAAGAAGCCCCGGCUAACUUCGUG